UCGCUCUGAUACCAAUAUGAUG
RNAcentral lists this microRNA (22 nucleotides) under Cucumis melo (muskmelon). RNAcentral's name for it is "cme-miR845". Its record names the gene cme-miR845. The record is from miRBase by way of RNAcentral. Lineage: Eukaryota; Viridiplantae; Streptophyta; Magnoliopsida; Cucurbitales; Cucurbitaceae.